This 268-nucleotide unclassified non-coding RNA is filed under the name Hevea brasiliensis (rubber tree). Lineage: Eukaryota; Viridiplantae; Streptophyta; Magnoliopsida; Malpighiales; Euphorbiaceae. The record is from RNAcentral.
GCUAAAAGUAGUGCAGUGCUUAUACACAUACACACACAUAAAACAUUACUUGCAUAUUGUUUCCUAAUUAAGGUAUAGAAAUUCAAAUUACAAGUGCUUGUUUCAUCAUCAAAAUACCAUACAAAAUAUAAAUUUGCUGAUUCUUAUGAAAAGGAAUGGAUACCAAUGGCUCUGCGAGAGAGAGUAGUCUUCUUAUCAGGGUAACCAUUCUGGCAUGUAAUUAUUCAUACUUGGGCCAGCAUUGACUACUGUUAUUGGAUCAGGCUGG